Molecule: ribosomal RNA, 778 nt
Filed under: uncultured organism
Description: bacterial SSU rRNA
Rfam family: Bacterial small subunit ribosomal RNA
Source: RNAcentral
UGAUCUGCCACGAGGUUGGGGAUAGCCCAUGGAAACAUGGGGUAAUACCGAAUGAGCUCUUUUUACUAUGGUGAGAAGAGGAAAAGCGCUUCGGCGCUGCCUUGUGAUGAGCCUGCGGCUGAUUAGCUAGUUGGUGGGGUAAAGGCCUACCAAGGCAACGAUCAGUAGCCGGCCUGAGAGGGUGAUCGGCCACACUGGGACUGAGAUACGGCCCAGACUCCUACGGGAGGCAGCAGCUAAGAAUCUUCCGCAAUGGACGAAAGUCUGACGGAGCGACGCCGCGUGGGUGAAGAAGGCCGAGAGGUUGUAAAGCCCUUUUCUGUCUGAGGAAUAAGCUUGGGAGGGAAUGCCCGAGUGAUGACGGUAGGACAGGAAUAAGCCCCGGCUAAUUACGUGCCAGCAGCCGCGGUAACACGUAUGGGGCGAGCGUUGUUCGGAAUUAUUGGGCGUAAAGGGCGCGUAGGCGGAUAUACAAGUCUGGUGUGAAAGACCGCAGCUUAACUGCGGGAGCGCGCUGGAAACUGUAUGUCUUGAAUCCUUGAGGGGAAACUGGAAUUCCUGGUGUAGGGGUGAAAUCUGUAGAUAUCAGGAAGAACAUCGGUGGCGAAGGCGAGUUUCUGGCAAGUGAUUGACGCUGAGGCGCGAAAGCGUGGGGAGCAAACAGGAUUAGAUACCCUGGUAGUCCACGCUGUAAACGAUGUGCACUAGGCGUUGGGGUGUUGAAACCUCAGUGCCGGAGCUAACGUGGUAAGUGCACCGNCUGGGGAGUAUGCCGGCA